GUACCUAUGGCUCAGUGGUUGAGCAUGGGCAUCAGCUUUCUAGUAUUCAUAAGUUGGAUGUGAAUGUCUGGGUUCAAAUCCUGGUGGGUACU
Transfer RNA from Moniliophthora roreri MCA 2997, 92 nucleotides. It matches the Rfam family "tRNA". Rfam says of the family: Transfer RNA (tRNA) molecules are approximately 80 nucleotides in length. The record is from Rfam. Lineage: Eukaryota; Fungi; Basidiomycota; Agaricomycetes; Agaricales; Marasmiaceae.